CAAUAGCGUAUAUUAAAGUUGUUGCAGUUAGAACGCUCGUAGUCGGAUUUCGGGGCGGGCCGACCGGUCUGCCGAUGGGUACGCACUGGUCGGCGCGUCCUUCCUUCCGGAGACCGUGCCUACUCUUAACUGAGCGGGGGCGGGAGACGGAUCGUUUAAUUUGAAAAAAUCAGAGUGUUUCAAGCAGGCAGCUCGCUCUUGCAUGGAUUAGCAUGGGAUAAUGAAAUAGGACUUUGGUGCUAUUUUGUUGGUUUCGAACACCGAAGUAAUGAUUAAAAGGGACAGUCAGGGGCACUCGUAUUCCGCAGAGAGAGGUGAAAUUCUCAGACCCGCGGAAGACGAACCACUGCGAAAGCAUUUGCCAGGGAUGUUUUCACUGA
RNAcentral lists this ribosomal RNA (380 nucleotides) under uncultured eukaryote. RNAcentral's name for it is "partial 18S ribosomal RNA". It matches the Rfam family "Eukaryotic small subunit ribosomal RNA", at positions 592 to 976 of the family's 1831-position model. The record is from RNAcentral.